This is a long non-coding RNA of Gadus macrocephalus (Pacific cod), 388 nucleotides long. RefSeq lists it as uncharacterized. The transcript is spliced from 3 exons. The record is from RefSeq and is a predicted model, not a curated record. NCBI's taxonomy places the organism in Eukaryota, Metazoa, Chordata, Actinopteri, Gadiformes, Gadidae.
ACCAACAGCAGUUCCAGCACCAGCAACAGAAGACCCAUCACCAGCUCCAGGUCCAUCAUCAGCAUCAGCAACAGAGGCCCUGGGCCACUCUGUCAUUCCAAAAGGACUUGUGGAGCGCUGCUCCUUCCAAAGCCCCCAGAAGUUCAUAAAUGAUCUCCUACAUGGGAUGUAUACCAGGGAAUAUAUGGCAGGCCAUUCAGUGACUGGCCAGUCAUCCAGCAGCUGCACAGAAGGAAAACCUGGCCUAGCCAAACAGGACCUUGUUGAAAUAACAAAUGCUGCAAAGUUGAAGUUCACCUACGUAACUGAUACGAACAUAAAAGCAUUUAUACGACAAAAGCUGAACAAUGCUGCCAAAUUUCAGAAACAAUAAAUGAUCAACUGUUAA